RNAcentral lists this ribosomal RNA (245 nucleotides) under uncultured bacterium. RNAcentral describes it as "partial 16S ribosomal RNA". It matches the Rfam family "Bacterial small subunit ribosomal RNA", at positions 57 to 305 of the family's 1533-position model. The record is from RNAcentral.
GCAAGUCGAACGAGAAAGCCCUUCGGGGUGAGUAGAGUGGCGCACGGGUGAGUAACGCAUGGGAACGUACCCUUCGGUCUGGGAUAACCGUGAGAAAUCGCGGCUAAUACCGGAUAGUCUCGCAAGAGUAAAGAUGGCCUCUCCUUGGAAGCUAUCGCCGGUUGAUCGGCCCAUGUCCCAUUAGCUUGUUGGCGAGGUAACGUCUCACCAAGGCGACGAUGGGUAGCUGGUCUGAGAGGAUGAUC